GAUGAACGCUGGCGGCGUGCCUAAUACAUGCAAGUCGAGCGAACGGACGAGAAGCUUGCUUCUCUGAUGUUAGCGGCGGACGGGUGAGUAACACGUGGAUAACCUACCUAUAAGACUGGGAUAACUUCGGGAAACCGUAGCUAAUACCGGAUAAUAUUUUGAGCCGCAUGGUUCAAAAGUGAAAGACGGUCUUGCUGUCACUUAUAGAUGGAUCCGCGCUGCAUUAGCUAGUUGGUAAGGUAACGGCUUACCAAGGCAACGAUGCAUAGCCGACCUGAGAGGGUGAUCGGCCACACUGGAACUGAGAUACGGUCCAGACUCCUACGGGAGGCAGCAGUAGGGAAUCUUCCGCAAUGGGCGAAAGCCUGACGGAGCAACGCCGCGUGAGUGAUGAAGGUCUUCGGAUCGUAAAACUCUGUUAUUAGGGAAGAACAUAUGUGUAAGUAACUGUGCACAUCUUGACGGUACCUAAUCAGAAAGCCACGGCUAACUACGUG
This 497-nucleotide ribosomal RNA is filed under the name uncultured bacterium. Its description in RNAcentral is "partial 16S ribosomal RNA". It matches the Rfam family "Bacterial small subunit ribosomal RNA", at positions 28 to 507 of the family's 1533-position model. The record is from RNAcentral.